Molecule: unclassified non-coding RNA, 345 nt
Filed under: soil metagenome
Description: partial contains 5.8S ribosomal RNA, internal transcribed spacer 2, and large subunit ribosomal RNA
Rfam family: 5.8S ribosomal RNA (bases 1-121)
Source: RNAcentral
GAUGAAGAACGCAGUGAAAUGCGAUAAGUAAUGCGAAUUGCAGAAUUUCCGUGAGUCAUCGAAUCUUUGAACGCACAUUGCGCCCACUGGUAUUCCGGUGGGCAUGCCUGUUCGAGAGUCAUUAUCCUCCCUCAAACCCCGGGUUUGGUGUUGGACCCAAGUUGUGUGAACAACUGGUCUUAAAGACAAUGACGGCGUCCGUGGGACCCUCGGUGCAACGAGCUUUUAGGAGCACGCAUCGAGUUGCAAGGACCUUCCGGGCCGGUCUCCUUUACUAUUUUACAAGGUUGACCUCGGAUCAGGUAGGAAUACCCGCUGAACUUAAGCAUAUCAAUAAGCGGAGGA